This is a small nucleolar RNA of Leptidea sinapis, 79 nucleotides long. The record is from RefSeq and is a predicted model, not a curated record. NCBI's taxonomy places the organism in Eukaryota, Metazoa, Arthropoda, Insecta, Lepidoptera, Pieridae.
UUUAUAUGAUGAAUAUCAAAUGCAACGAUGAAUAACUAUGAUUAUCAAAAAUAUUACGAGCUUUUUAACUCUGAUCAAU